This 222-nucleotide ribosomal RNA is filed under the name Staphylococcus aureus. RNAcentral describes it as "partial 23S ribosomal RNA". It matches the Rfam family "Bacterial large subunit ribosomal RNA", at positions 12 to 231 of the family's 2925-position model. The record is from RNAcentral. Lineage: Bacteria; Bacillati; Bacillota; Bacilli; Caryophanales; Staphylococcaceae.
UAAGGGCGCACGGUGGAUGCCUUGGCACUAGAAGCCGAUGAAGGACGUUACUAACGACGAUAUGCUUUGGGGAGCUGUAAGUAAGCUUUGAUCCAGAGAUUUCCGAAUGGGGAAACCCAGCAUGAGUUAUGUCAUGUUAUCGAUAUGUGAAUACAUAGCAUAUCAGAAGGCACACCCGGAGAACUGAAACAUCUUAGUACCCGGAGGAAGAGAAAGAAAAUU